CAUGGUGACUAUAGCACGGAGGUCCACCUCUUCCCAUUCCGAACAGAGAAGUUAAGCCCCGUCGCGCCGAUGAUACUGCAUUAGCUUGUGGGAAAGUAGGUCGUCGCCAAAC
Molecule: ribosomal RNA, 112 nt
Filed under: Bacteroidales bacterium
Lineage: Bacteria; Pseudomonadati; Bacteroidota; Bacteroidia; Bacteroidales
Source: RNAcentral